RNAcentral lists this ribosomal RNA (253 nucleotides) under uncultured bacterium. RNAcentral describes it as "partial 16S ribosomal RNA". It matches the Rfam family "Bacterial small subunit ribosomal RNA", at positions 524 to 776 of the family's 1533-position model. The record is from RNAcentral.
GACGAACCGUCCAAACGUUAUUCGGAAUCACUGGGCUUACAGAGUUCGUAGGCGGUCUGGAAAGUUGGGUGUGAAAUCCCUCGGCUCAACCGAGGAACUGCGCUUGAAACUACCAGACUCGAGGGAGAUAGAGGAAAGCGGAACUGAUGGUGGAGCGGUGAAAUGCGUUGAUAUCAUCAGGAACACCGGUGGCGAAGGCGGCUUUCUGGGCCUUACCUGACGCUGAGGAACGAAAGCCAGGGGAGCGAACGGG